RNAcentral lists this ribosomal RNA (301 nucleotides) under uncultured bacterium. RNAcentral describes it as "partial 16S ribosomal RNA". It matches the Rfam family "Bacterial small subunit ribosomal RNA", at positions 509 to 807 of the family's 1533-position model. The record is from RNAcentral.
CAGUAGCCGCGGGAAUACGAAGGGGGCUAGCGUUGUCCGGAAUUAUUGGGCGUAAAGCGUGCGCAGGCGGUUGUGUAAGACAGGUGUGAAAUCCCCGGGCUUAACCUGGGAACUGCGCUUGUGACUGCACAGCUAGAGUAUGGCAGAGGGGGGUGGAAUUCCACGUGUAGCAGUGAAAUGCGUAGAGAUGUGGAGGAACACCGAUGGCGAAGGCAGCCCCCUGGGCCAAUACUGACGCUCAUGCACGAAAGCGUGGGGAGCAAACAGGAUUAGAUACCCCUGUAGUCCCUGUCUCUUAUAC